GUCUCUGUGGCACAAUUGAUUGAGCGCUCAGCUAAUGGCCAAGAGGUUGGUGGUUUGAGCCCAGCCAGGGGCA
RNAcentral lists this transfer RNA (73 nucleotides) under Sphaerodactylus townsendi. RNAcentral's name for it is "tRNA-Ile". The record is from RNAcentral. Lineage: Eukaryota; Metazoa; Chordata; Lepidosauria; Squamata; Sphaerodactylidae.